RNAcentral lists this long non-coding RNA (260 nucleotides) under Rosa chinensis. RNAcentral's name for it is "sRNA RchiOBHm_Chr5g0056711". Lineage: Eukaryota; Viridiplantae; Streptophyta; Magnoliopsida; Rosales; Rosaceae. The record is from RNAcentral.
AUGCAAACAAAUACUUGUUCUAGGGUCAGAUUUGGUUGUGGCUUGUGUCGGCUUCUUUGAAUGAGAAGAGGUUGAUGUUGAAUGAAUGAAUUAAGUCAGAAGAUUCUGGGAGGAUUGCAGAGGCUAGGACACUAAAUCAGUAGACAAUGAUUUACAAUAUUCAGCUAGUAUUAAGUACCUUAUAAGGGAUUGCUUCUGAUGUGGCAGGGUUGAGUGCACCAUAUGAGAAGGCUUCUCAUGUAGAUGAAAGGCCAGACGUG